CUCUAGCCGGGGGGCUAGUAGACUCUGCUCAAUGACCCCUAAAUGGCCGCAGUAUUUUAACUGUGCUAAGGUAGCAUAAUAAUUAGGCUUUUUAUAAAAGUCUGGAAUGAAAGAGCUGACGACUCCCAAGCUUUCCUGAUUUAGACCUAUAAAUUUAUUUCUAAGUAAAAAAGCUUAGCUUUCUAGAAAGACGAUAAGACCCUAUAAAGCUUUACCGGUAAAAUAAUGUGUAUAAAGUCUAUGCUGUUUGGGCAGGUUGAGCUGGGGCGGCAAAUAAAUCUCUUUAUUGGACAAAACAAAAUUUUUGAGAGGCUAGAUCUAAUAAGAAAUAGAAUUAGCUACUUUAGGGAUAACAGCGCAAUCUUUCUAUAGAGAACCUAUCGAUAGAAAGGACUUGCGACCUCGAUGUUGAAUUGAGGGGCCUAAAUUAAGCAAAAAUAAUUUAAGGGAGUCUGUUCGACUUUUAAUACCUC
RNAcentral lists this ribosomal RNA (473 nucleotides) under Mastigoniscus sp. 3 SB-2021a. RNAcentral describes it as "partial 16S ribosomal RNA". It matches the Rfam family "Bacterial large subunit ribosomal RNA", at positions 1889 to 2597 of the family's 2925-position model. The record is from RNAcentral. Lineage: Eukaryota; Metazoa; Arthropoda; Malacostraca; Isopoda; Haploniscidae.